Molecule: ribosomal RNA, 301 nt
Filed under: uncultured bacterium
Lineage: Bacteria
Description: partial 16S ribosomal RNA
Rfam family: Bacterial small subunit ribosomal RNA
Source: RNAcentral
CAGUCGCCACGGUAAUACGAAGGGUGCAAGCGUUAAUCGGAAUUACUGGGCGUAAAGCGUGCGUAGGCGGUUUGUUAAGUCUGUUGUGAAAUCCCCGGGCUCAACCUGGGAAUGGCAAUGGAUACUGGCAAGCUAGAGUGUGUCAGAGGAUGGUGGAAUUCCCGGUGUAGCGGUGAAAUUCGUAGAUAUUCGGAAGAACACCAGUGGCGAAGGCGGCUUACUGGCUCAUACUGGACGCUGAGGUGCGAAAGCGUGGGGAGCAAACGGGAUUAGAUACCCGAGUAGUCCCUGUCCUUAUACA